This 474-nucleotide ribosomal RNA is filed under the name uncultured bacterium. RNAcentral describes it as "bacterial SSU rRNA". It matches the Rfam family "Bacterial small subunit ribosomal RNA", at positions 28 to 496 of the family's 1533-position model. The record is from RNAcentral.
GAUGAACGCUAGCGGCAGGCUUAACACAUGCAAGUCGAGGGGCAUCACGGGUAGCAAUACCUGGUGGCGACCGGCGCAAGGGUGCGUAACGCGUGAGCAACAUGCCCUAUACAGGGGGAUAAUCCAGGGAAACUUGGUCUAAUAUCCCAUAGCAUUUAGAGGUGGCAUCACCAUUAAAUUAAAGCUUCGGUGGUAUAGGAUUGGCUCGCGUGACAUUAGCUAGAUGGUGGGGUAACGGCUCACCAUGGCUAUGAUGUCUAGGGGUUCUGAGAGGAAGACCCCCCACACUGGGACUGAGACACGGCCCAGACUCCUACGGGAGGCAGCAGUGAGGAAUAUUGGACAAUGGAUGGAAAUCUGAUCCAGCCAUGCCGCGUGCAGGAAGACGGCCCUAUGGGUUGUAAACUGCCUUUUAUAUGGGAGCAAUAAGGUCUACGAGUAGACCGAUGAGAGUACCAUAUGAAUAAGCAUCGG